CGUUCCUACGGGGGGCAGCAGUGAGGAAUAUUGGUCAAUGGCCGGAAGGCUGAACCAGCCAAGUCGCGUGAGGGACGACUGCCCUAUGGGUUGUAAACCUCUUUUAUAAGGGAAGAAUAAAUGCUACGUGUAGCAUGAUGCCUGUACCUUAUGAAUAAGCAUCGGCUAACUCCGUGCCAGCAGCCGCGGUAAUACGGAGGAUGCGAGCGUUAUCCGGAUUUAUUGGGUUUAAAGGGUGCGGAGGCGGUUUUUUAAGUUAGUGGUUAAACGGCGGGGGCUCAACUUGGUUUGGCAUUAA
Molecule: ribosomal RNA, 298 nt
Filed under: uncultured bacterium
Lineage: Bacteria
Description: partial 16S ribosomal RNA
Rfam family: Bacterial small subunit ribosomal RNA
Source: RNAcentral